Haliotis rubra (blacklip abalone) is the source of this 169-nucleotide long non-coding RNA. RefSeq lists it as uncharacterized. The record is from RefSeq and is a predicted model, not a curated record. Lineage: Eukaryota; Metazoa; Mollusca; Gastropoda; Lepetellida; Haliotidae. The transcript has 3 exons.
UAUCACAUGUACACAGUAUAUCACAUGAAGUAUACAGUAUAUCACAAGUACAUAGGGUAUCACAGGUACACAGGAUACAAUAUAUCACAGGUACACAGUAUAUCACAUGUAGUAUACAGUAUAUCACAGGUACACAGUAUAUCACAUGAAGUAUACAGUAUAUCACAGG